Molecule: ribosomal RNA, 441 nt
Filed under: uncultured Paraprevotella sp.
Lineage: Bacteria; Pseudomonadati; Bacteroidota; Bacteroidia; Bacteroidales; Prevotellaceae
Description: bacterial SSU rRNA
Rfam family: Bacterial small subunit ribosomal RNA
Source: RNAcentral
UGAGGAAUAUUGGUCAAUGGGCGUGAGCCUGAACCAGCCAAGUAGCGUGAGGGACGACGGCCCUAUGGGUUGUAAACCUCUUUUGUGUGGGAAUAAUGUGCCGUACGCGUACGGUAUUGCAUGUACCUCACGAAUAAGCAUCGGCUAAUUCCGUGCCAGCAGCCGCGGUAAUACGGAAGAUGCGAGCGUUAUCCGGAUUUAUUGGGUUUAAAGGGAGCGUAGGCGGGCUGUUAAGUCAGCGGUCAAAUGUCAGGGCCCAACCUUGGCAUGCCGUUGAUACUGUCAGUCUUGAAUGCACCCAAGGAAGGUGGAAUUCGUCAUGUAGCGGUGAAAUGCUUAGAUAUGACGAAGAACUCCGAUUGCGAAGGCAGCCUUCUGGAGUGCAAUUGACGCUGAGGCUCGAAAGUGCGGGUAUCGAACAGGAUUAGAUACCCUGGUAGU